Molecule: small RNA, 439 nt
Filed under: Pan troglodytes (chimpanzee)
Lineage: Eukaryota; Metazoa; Chordata; Mammalia; Primates; Hominidae
Description: retained intron
Source: RNAcentral
AUUAGGCGAAACCAAAACUAUAUGAACAUUCUCCGGUUCCUGGCCCUGGGCGACAAGAAGCUGAGUCCCUUUAACAUCACUCACCGCUUCACGCACCUCUUCUGGUUUGGGGAUCUUAACUACCGUGUGGAUCUGCCUACCUGGGAGGCAGAAACCAUCAUCCAGAAAAUCAAGCAGCAGCAGUACGCAGACCUCCUGUCCCACGACCAGCUGCUCACAGAGAGGAGGGAGCAGAAGGUCUUCCUACACUUCGAGGAGGAAGAAAUCACGUUUGCCCCAACCUACCGUUUUGAGAGACUGACUCGGGACAAAUACGCCUACACCAAGCAGAAAGCGACAGGGGUGAGUCCUCUUCAUAGACACCUUCCCUGCCCUCCAUCUCCUCCCAGCUGGUGUCUGUUCCCAAAAGGUGAACAGAAAGUGUCUUCAUCCAUUAGGC